Loxodonta africana (African savanna elephant) is the source of this 1710-nucleotide long non-coding RNA. RefSeq lists it as uncharacterized. The transcript is spliced from 3 exons. The record is from RefSeq and is a predicted model, not a curated record. Lineage: Eukaryota; Metazoa; Chordata; Mammalia; Proboscidea; Elephantidae.
UCUGGUGCUAAUUUACUUAGAAAAAAUUCUGAUGCAUGUUCUAGGUUGCUCGAAUCUCAUCUUUAAAUAUUGAUUAUCAGGGCUUGUAGCCUCAUGCAAGCCAAUUCAUCAAUCCCAGAUUUCCCCAAAGUCAGGCUCUGCAACUCUUCCCGGUACCAAAUUCCCUCAUUUAAGACUUAUUUGCAAAGAAAGAGACAACAGUAUGCUAUCUACGCAGUUGUGUAUGCGCAGCCUUCUUGAGUCCAUAUUGUGAGGAUACAGUCUUCUAAUACUUUUUUUGUAAUUGUUCUUUUUCUUCUUUUUUUUUUCCUUUUUUCACUGCCAAUACACCCCCUCCCCCAAUCUAGUAGUUUUAAAGUUGUGCGUUUCAGGUUCAAGUCUGUAAUCCAGCUGGGCUUCUGUUUGUGCUGCAUGUGUGCAUCAAAAGAACGUGCUUCUAGAAGUAGAAAGCAGGCAGUGCGACUGUUGGGUGGUUGGCGGGGUAGGGGGAGGGGAGCUGCUGCUCAGAGAGGGCGCCCGAGGGAGGCACGAGAUGCCGGGCUGCCCACCGCAAGCCCGCAGACUCCAAGGAGGUGGAACCCGCGUGCGCCAUGAGCCUUUUGAGACAGGCCCAAGCCCGCCCAGCCGGGUGCUUGCAAGUUCCACCAGGACUAGGGGAAGCCUAAGGCCAAGGAGGGCAAGGUCUAGGGUCUGGACCUGAGAACUGGUUCUGCCACUUGUGAUCGCAGAGCUUAUGCUGGAAAGGAGGGCAGGAAGCAUAUCACAACGUGUGUCCGGAGGAUGACCCAGAAGGGCGGGAGUUGUGGUCACCCAGGGACUCUGGGUCUGCAUAUGGAGGCCCCCAGGGUGCAAUUCCAGGAGCAGAAGGCAAAGCCACAGAGGCCAAAGUGCACCUCGCCAAUGCUUCCCAGGGGCAUUGCCCCAAAUCUGGGGAGCAGUCCCUACUCUGGGCUAGGGACUUUGUUUCCUCCAUUGUCAUCACUGACUGUGAGCAGACUCUAGUCUAUGCAGACUAAUGAGGAGUUAUCAAAAUGAGCUCCAAACUCCGGAUUUGAGUUAAGGAUCAUAAACUAACAUAGAGAAAUACGACUUUAGCAAUAAGUGACUGUUUGAAGCCCAAGUUGCCUUAAAACACAGAAUUUCAGUCUUUCAGCUCCUCUGCUAAUGUAAUAACUAAGAACAGAAUCUCACUGGAGCUCAAAGAUGUGGGGCACUGGGAAUACUCCUGGGUCUGUCUGCUCACGGCUGAUUGCCUGAUUCCCAGUUUUAUUAUACAGCUUAAAUACAGACCAGAAGAGGAGUUUGGGGCUUGACAUCUGACAUCUUAACACCAGUUCCUGUUUCUUGAGGAAGGAAGAGGUAAAAUAAAUCAGCGUUUACUGUGUCCUUCUCCAUCCCCGGAAGUCCUUGUGAAGACCCUCUCAGCUUCAACUUGAACGUGAAUAUGAGCAACUGAUCAUCUGUUCUGCAGUCAGCCCCUGGCCUGAUUCUGACUCAUGAUAUUGACCUUCUCCAUCAUCACCUUCCACAAAUUUGAUUCCUGUCUAUUCUGCCUGGAAUGGUUCACGAGUAUAGUCACCAUUUAUGUUCCUGACGAAAGCAGGAGAAGCAUUCCUGGAGAGAGGCGGAUUCCAUGUGUGCCGGCAAAGUGUGUGCUGAGAUGAUGAGUCGCUGGAGACCAGGGUGGACUCUUCAGACCCAGGAUAGGCC